CAUAACGAUCAUAUUAUGUUGAAUAAAAAGGCUCUCUUCCAAUCACCUAAGGUAAGCAAUGUAGGGUCCAGUUAGUACUUAAUGAAUAGGUGACUCCAUGGGAAUCCCAGAUGUAGCUGACC
This 122-nucleotide ribosomal RNA is filed under the name Trichobilharzia regenti. Lineage: Eukaryota; Metazoa; Platyhelminthes; Trematoda; Strigeidida; Schistosomatidae. The record is from RNAcentral.